ACGCGUAGGAUCCUAUAUCCAUCCCUCAGCCUCUUGCUCUCCUCAAGACCCUGCAUAGAAGUGCAUAAAUGAGCACUAGAACCAGAGUCAAGUACCCAACUGGAUGUAGAGGAAAUCGUAAGAUUAGAUUUUAUAACAAGCAUACCUCCAGAAGGACCAUCCUUCUUGUUCUUCAGGGUGGCCAGGUAUUGAGGACAGUUUC
RNAcentral lists this long non-coding RNA (202 nucleotides) under Elaeis guineensis (African oil palm). RNAcentral's name for it is "long non-coding RNA (EGUI_LNC082074)". The record is from RNAcentral. Lineage: Eukaryota; Viridiplantae; Streptophyta; Magnoliopsida; Arecales; Arecaceae.